AUUAGAUACCCUGGUAGUCCACGCCCUAAACGAUGUCUACUUGCUGUUGGGGGUAAAACCUAAGUAGCGAAGCUAACGCGAGAAGUAGACCGCCUGGGGAGUACGGUCGCAAGAUUAAAACUCAAAGGAAUUGACGGGGACCCGCACAAGCGGUGGAUGAUGCGGAUUAAUUCGAUGCAACGCGAAAAACCUUACCUGCUCUUGACAUGCCAAGAAUCCUGCAGAGAUGUAGGAGUGCCUUCGGGAACUUGGACACAGGUGCUGCAUGGCUGUCGUCAGCUCGUGUCGUGAGAUGUUGUCUUAAGUGACGCAACGAGCGCAACCCUUGUCAUUAGUUGCCAUCCUUAAGUUGGGCACUCUAAUGAUACUGCCGGUGAUAAACCGGAGGAAGGUGGGGAUGACGUCAAGUCCUCAUGGCCCUUAUGAGCAGGGCUUCACGCGUCAUACAAUGGUCGGUACAAACGGUUGCGAAGCAGUGAUGUGUAGCUAAUCCGAAAAAGCCGAUCUCAGUCCGGAUUGUAGUCUGCAACUCGACUACAUGAAGUCGGAAUCGCUAGUAAUCGCAGAUCAGCAUGCUGCGGUGAAUACGUUCCCGGGUCUUGUACACACCGCCCGUCACACCAUGGGAGUGGAGGAUACCAGAAGUUGUUAGGCUAACCGCAAGGGGGCCGAUUACCACGGUAUGUUUCAUGACUGGGGUGAAGUCGUAACAAGGUACC
This 719-nucleotide ribosomal RNA is filed under the name uncultured beta proteobacterium. RNAcentral describes it as "bacterial SSU rRNA". It matches the Rfam family "Bacterial small subunit ribosomal RNA", at positions 777 to 1500 of the family's 1533-position model. Lineage: Bacteria; Pseudomonadati; Pseudomonadota; Betaproteobacteria. The record is from RNAcentral.